UACAGAGGUCUCAAGCGUUGUUCGGAUUUAUUGGGCGUAAAGGGCGCGUAGGCGGCGGGGUAAGUCGGGUGUGAAAUCUCAGGGCUCAACCCUGAAACUGCACUUGAUACUGCUCUGCUUGAGGACUGGAGAGGAGACUGGAAUUCACGGUGUAGCAGUGAAAUGCGUAGAUAUCGUGAGGAAGACCAGUGGCGAAGGCGGGUCUCUGGGACGGUACUGACGCUGAGGCGCGAAAGCGUGGGGAGCAAACAGG
This 253-nucleotide ribosomal RNA is filed under the name uncultured bacterium. RNAcentral's name for it is "partial 16S ribosomal RNA". It matches the Rfam family "Bacterial small subunit ribosomal RNA", at positions 524 to 776 of the family's 1533-position model. The record is from RNAcentral.